CACACACAGAGCACCCCUCACACACACACAGACACACACACAACACCCCUCUCACACACAGCGAUGGGGUGAGAGGGGUGCUGUGUGUGUGUGUGUGUGAGGGGUGCUGUAUGUGUGUGAA
Pelobates cultripes (western spadefoot toad) is the source of this 121-nucleotide non-coding RNA. Lineage: Eukaryota; Metazoa; Chordata; Amphibia; Anura; Pelobatidae. The record is from the annotation of a GenBank genome assembly.